RNAcentral lists this ribosomal RNA (493 nucleotides) under uncultured bacterium. RNAcentral's name for it is "bacterial SSU rRNA". It matches the Rfam family "Bacterial small subunit ribosomal RNA", at positions 903 to 1397 of the family's 1533-position model. The record is from RNAcentral.
AAAGGAAUAGACGGGGACCCGCACAAGCGGUGGAGCAUGUGGUUUAAUUCGAAGCAACGCGAAGAACCUUACCUAAACUUGACAUCCCGAUGACCAUCUAUGUAAUGUAGACUUUCUUCGGAACAUCGGUGACAGGUGGUGCAUGGUUGUCGUCAGCUCGUGUCGUGAGAUGUUGGGUUAAGUCCCGCAACGAGCGCAACCCUUAUCCUUAGUAGCCAUCAUUAAGUUGGGCACUCUAGGGAGACUGCCGUGGAUAACACGGAGGAAGGUGGGGAUGACGUCAAAUCAUCAUGCCCCUUAUGUUUAGGGCUACACACGUGCUACAAUGGCUGUCACAAAGUGAAGCGAACCUGCGAGGGCAAGCAAACCACAAAAAGGCAGUCCCAGUUCGGAUUGUAGUCUGCAACUCGACUACAUGAAGUUGGAAUCGCUAGUAAUCGCGAAUCAGAAUGUCGCGGUGAAUACGUUCCCGGGUCUUGUACACACCGCCCGU